AUCUACCCCGCAGUGCGGAAUACCGGCGAGAAAUCGCCGACAAGACCGCAUGGGCUGCCUUUUCUGAAAGGAAGGCAGCAAAGGUUUUCGCAAGAGAACCGCUCUGGGAUGAGCCUGCGGCUGAUUAGCUAGCUGGGGGGGUAAAGGCCUCCCAGGGCACCGAUCAGUAGCUGGUCUGAGAGGACGAGCAGCCACACUGGGAUUGAGAACGGCCCAG
Molecule: ribosomal RNA, 217 nt
Filed under: uncultured bacterium
Lineage: Bacteria
Description: partial 16S ribosomal RNA
Rfam family: Bacterial small subunit ribosomal RNA
Source: RNAcentral